CCUACGCGAGGCAGCAGUGAGGAAUAUUGGUCAAUGGACGGAAGUCUGAACCAGCCAUGCCGCGUGCAGGAAGACGGCUCUAUGAGUUGUAAACUGCUUUUGUACAAGGGUAAACCUGAAGACGUGUAUUCAGCUGAAAGUACUGUACGAAUAAGGAUCGGCUAACUCCGUUCCAGCAGCCGCGGUAAUACGGAGGAUCCAAGCGUUAUCCGGAUUUAUUGGGUUUAAAGGGUGCGUAGGCGGGUUGAUAAGUUAGAGGUGAAAAGGUCGAGCUUAACUCGGGAACUGCCUCUAAUACUGUUGAUCUGGAGAGUAGAUGCGGUAGGCGGAAUGUAUGGUGUAGCGGUGAAAUGCUUAGAGAUCAUACAGAACACCGAUUGCGAAGGCAGCUUACCAAUCUAUAUCUGACGUUGAGGCACGAAAGCGUGGGGAGCAAACAGGAUUAGAUACCCCUGUAGUC
This 460-nucleotide ribosomal RNA is filed under the name uncultured bacterium. RNAcentral describes it as "partial 16S ribosomal RNA". It matches the Rfam family "Bacterial small subunit ribosomal RNA", at positions 338 to 795 of the family's 1533-position model. The record is from RNAcentral.